Maniola jurtina (meadow brown) is the source of this 178-nucleotide long non-coding RNA. RefSeq lists it as uncharacterized. The record is from RefSeq and is a predicted model, not a curated record. Lineage: Eukaryota; Metazoa; Arthropoda; Insecta; Lepidoptera; Nymphalidae. The transcript has 3 exons.
UCAAUGGGAAAUCAAUUAAGGUCAAGUGGGGUAAGAGAAACAUACUUUACUGGUUUGUGAACAUUUUGGCCUUCAGCUAUCAAAAUUAUACAUUUAUUUCGAUAUUAAUUGAAACAAAUCUUCGCUUUUGAAAUAUACUAACAUUUUUUUUGAUACAGAACUAGAUUGUUCGUAUAAU